This is a long non-coding RNA of Rosa chinensis, 1577 nucleotides long. RefSeq lists it as uncharacterized. The record is from RefSeq and is a predicted model, not a curated record. Lineage: Eukaryota; Viridiplantae; Streptophyta; Magnoliopsida; Rosales; Rosaceae. The transcript is spliced from 6 exons.
AAACCUGAUCACAUGAUUGCAUGCCUAAUUUCUAGACCCAAAAUGGGUCAAAGAGAAUGAAUAUACAUUGCAUGUGGGGUCUUUUUGUUUUGUUUAUUGGUUUUUAUGUGUUGCUUUUGAAGGUAUCAUUUAAUUGUGAAAGAAAGCUUUGGAGGAGAACAUAAUUGUGUAUCUGGAAACUGGUUGUGGAAAGACCUAAAUAGCCGUGUUGCUUAUGUAUGAACCAGUUGAUACUCAAACCUCAGAAGAACAUGUGUGCUAAAUCCUGAAGAUCUUUGUGGUAUAUAUGGAUCAAAUUGCUCCCAAUGGAUUAUUGCAAUGGAGUAUUAGAAAGAAUGUGGCUAUCAUGAAGCCUCAUGAAGCAGCCAAAUUAGUUGCCGAAUGAGAUUUUUCAUGUAAAAGGACACUCCCCUGAACUGAAAGAGUAAGCCAAUCUUAUCUUAGACUGAAGCAUUUUCUUUUUGGUAAUCACCUUUAUAAAGUAAAAUGUCCACAAAUCUACUUCAAAUUUCAUGUUAUUCUUAGACCUGCAAGACAUCGUGAGUCUCCAAGCUGAUAAACACUCUGUAUCUUUCUUCAUGAUUGUCUUUCAAACUUCGAGUAUCUCAAACCUCAAAUUAAUUGAUUACUUUUGCAACUUAUUUAGAAAGUCUGGUUAGACUGCUUAUUUCACUUUUGUUGUUAUUGAUAAAAGUUGAGUUUGCAAUACACCUGUUACAAGUUUUUCGUUGUUUAUAUUGCCGGGCAUACCAUUGGAAGCAUGGUAGGAAAUGUCAUGGAAUUUUCUGGCUUCAGCCAUCCGAGACAAGUUCGUCUUAGCAGGAGUACAACAUUUCUUUGAUUCUGUUGGAAAGUCAAUCUCCAAUGAGAGCUUCAAGGCUUGAUGGAAUAGAGCCGUAGACAGCGACAGAGAGAGCUAAGGAAACGACCUCGCAGCUUUCAAGUUUUGAGCUGCUUAACCAAAACAGAGCUUGCAGCGAUGGAGACAGAAACGGCGGCGAUUCUAAGCGACCUAGGGAGGAAUCAGUGAAUGAAUGUUGCAAGAAGAACUGAGUUAGUUCAAGCUAUUGCAAAUAAACUUUUCAAUUGGCCUUCGACUAUGGACUCUUUGCUUCGUCUACGGCUAGGAAUUUCAUCUGCUUUCAUUUUUCUUAAGCCCCAUCAAAGUAACAAUCUUAAGAAAGGAAAAUUGCCUCUGCUUCCUGGUCACUCCUUGCAACUUCAGAACUUGCUCAAGGCCAUGUUGGAUCCAAAUCCAGUCUGCAGACCAUCAGCUAAAGAGUUGGUUGAAAAUCUAAUGUUCCACAGGGUGCUAAAAAAUGCAUGGGCCUAGGACAACCACGAUUGCGAAUUGAAGAGAUUGGGGUAUUGUAUUAUAGUAUAUGUCAUCCUUUUGUGUCUGCCAGCCCAGUAAAAUAGGCAGAAGUAUGUGAAUGGCCAAUUUUGUAUCUAUAAUUCUCCCUCAUGUAUUAAUAUGCACCUAAUUUUCCUCCUAAUGCGGUGCAUUUUUUAUGAAUCCUGAGGAUUCCUUGGUCAUGGACUCGAGUAUUUUACUGGUAAUGGAAAAGUCUAAAGCC